Molecule: ribosomal RNA, 441 nt
Filed under: Micrococcus sp. oral taxon F54
Lineage: Bacteria; Bacillati; Actinomycetota; Actinomycetes; Micrococcales; Micrococcaceae
Description: bacterial SSU rRNA
Rfam family: Bacterial small subunit ribosomal RNA
Source: RNAcentral
GAUGAACGCGGCGGCGUGCUUAACACAUGCAAGUCGAACGAUGAAGCCCAGCUUGCUGGGUGGAUUAGUGGCGAACGGGUGAGUAACACGUGAGUAACCUGCCCUUGACUCUGGGAUAAGCCCGGGAAACUGGGUCUAAUACCGGAUAGGAGCGCCUGUCGCAUGACGGGUGUUGGAAAGAUUUUUCGGUCAUGGAUGGACUCGCGGCCUAUCAGCUUGUUGGUGAGGUAAUGGCUCACCAAGGCGACGACGGGUAGCCGGCCUGAGAGGGUGACCGGCCACACUGGGACUGAGACACGGCCCAGACUCCUACGGGAGGCAGCAGUGGGGAAUAUUGCACAAUGGGCGGAAGCCUGAUGCAGCGACGCCGCGUGAGGGAUGACGGCCUUCGGGUUGUAAACCUCUUUCAGCAGGGAAGAAGCGAAAGUGACGUACCUGCAG